UCUUUGGACCUGAGGCCCCUUCUCAUCUUUCAGUCUAUGGUCAAAUAUCACCUUCUCUGAGAAAUCACCUGACUUUAUCUAAAGAGUGCUUAACAUCCGGGGGAUCCAACAAAUACUGACUCUCUUCUGUGAUCAAAUAACUUGCUGUCAACUGUCAUGUCAACAACUCAUCAAAGGAAAUUAAAGAGAGUUCAAUACUUCUGGGUAAUUCUAAAGCUAAGAUGACACGGUAGCACUGGAUUGCAUUCUGAAUGGCUGCUGCAACCUUCAUGUACCGUCC
Molecule: long non-coding RNA, 280 nt
Organism: Physeter macrocephalus (sperm whale)
Lineage: Eukaryota; Metazoa; Chordata; Mammalia; Artiodactyla; Physeteridae
Exons: 3
Source: RefSeq, a predicted model, not a curated record